This 301-nucleotide ribosomal RNA is filed under the name uncultured bacterium. RNAcentral describes it as "partial 16S ribosomal RNA". It matches the Rfam family "Bacterial small subunit ribosomal RNA", at positions 509 to 809 of the family's 1533-position model. The record is from RNAcentral.
CAGCCGCCGCGGGAAUACGUAGGGGGCAAGCGUUGUCCGGAAUUAUUGGGCGUAAAGCGCGUGUAGGCGGCUCAGCAAGUCCGCUCUGAAAGCCCAGGGCUCAACCCUGGGAUGCGGGUGGAUACUGCUGAGCUCGAGUCCGGAAGAGGCGAGUGGAAUUCCUGGUGUAGCGGUGAAAUGCGCAGAUAUCAGGAGGAACACCAAUGGCGAAGGCAGCUCACUGGGACGUGACUGACGCUGAGACGCGAAAGCGUGGGGAGCAAACAGGAUUAGAUACCCCCGUAGUCCCUGUCUCUUAUAA